GACCGGUGCUAGCGACACGGGAGUGGCUAACGCAUGCUCUUGCCGUUCCCGGUGUUUGGGCCUUGCCUGUGACGGUGGGAAAAGAAAAUGGCCUUGCUGUGCUACAACCGGGGCUGCGGUCAGCGCUUCGAUCCUGAGACCAAUUCCGACGAUGCUUGCACAUACCACCCAGGUGUUCCAGUCUUUCACGAUGCAUUAAAGGGUUGGUCUUGCUGUAAGAGAAGAACAACUGAUUUUUCUGAUUUCUUAAGCAUUGUAGGCUGUACAAAAGGUAGACAUAAUAGUGAGAAGCCACCUGAGCCAGUCAAACCGGAAGUCAAGACUACUGAGAAAAAGGAACUAUCUGAAUUAAAACCCAAAUUUCAGGAACACAUCAUUCAAGCCCCUAAGCCAGUAGAAGCAAUAAAAAGACCAAGGUAUACUUUAUACAGUUACAUAUUUUUGUCACACUUGAAUAGUAGCACUUGUGCAUGGUACUUUCCUUUAUGAUUUAGCAUGAUACCAUUUGUAGUUACUAUGUAGGCCACCAAGCUUUGAACCAUUUGGUUUCUCCCUUAAAUCUGCCUUAAAUUUUUAUUUCUCUUCAACUUGAGAGCAUGUACACAAUAUAACUACAUAACAGAUUUGCAUAUUGUACUGUCAUAAUUACAGGGACAUGUAUCAUCAGGGUAGGGAAGUCACAUUUCUCUUGUGCCUUAGAGUGCAUCUUUUUCACUGUGGCAUGGUAAAAUUCUUUGAAGCAGUUUUCCUUGUCAUGGCAUCAGUUUGAAAUAGAAAAUAAUGCAGAAGCCUAAUCAUCCAUCUUUACUUUCAGAUGCCUGAAAACUACAGUUAUCUCAUUACUACUGGUCAAUUUUUAAUGCAUUUGAUUUAGAUGACAUAUUUGUGAAAGUAGUCUUAAAAAAGCUUUUGCUCAUUGUGCAAUAGAAUUGUACAGAUUCUUCAUACUUGCCUUCUGAUAACCAGACUCUGUAUUCCCACACAUGUAUAUUGAGUACCUUUGUUGAACCAGGUCUUCUUCAUGCCACACUUGAGUACUAAAUUGUUCUAGAAGCAAACUACAGGACUUAAAAAAAGGUGAUUUUUUUUUUUUUUUUUGGCCACAAGUAGGCACCUAUUGCAAUUUUUAUUCAUGCUAUGAACUCAUGAUUUUCCCUUUAUUCUCCAUUGAUCCUACUUAAAUAAAUUUAUAGAGUAUUGAAUAAUAUAGAACCAAGAUAAGAACCCUAAGAGACUUUAGAUAUUUAUUUGUUCAUUAGCACUCUGAGUACAGAUUAUUGCUAAGGAAACUACUCAGGAUGAUUUUAUUCUCUCUCCAUCUUCAUAGUUAGAGGAGACCAUUGAAUGCUUUGGCCAAUUUAGCAGUUAGAAAAAUACUUGGGAAAAGACAAAACUUCAGUCAUGGCUCAUUCUUAAUCUCUUUAGUAAUAUAAUACAGUCUAUACUAUAAUAGUAUGAGUUAAUUUUUUCUUUAAAUGAUGGGCUGUUAUUUUACUUAAAGGGCAGUGAGAGGCCAGGCACUGUGGCUCAAGCCCAUAAUCCAGCACUAUGAGAAGCCUAGGAGGGAGGAUCCUUUGAGCCUAGGAGUUUGAGAACCAAUCUGAAAGAGAUCCUGUCUCUCCAAGAAAAAAAAAUUAGCUGGGUUUGGUGGUGUGCUCAUGUAGUUGCAGCUACUCAGGCUGAGGCAGGAGGAUCUUGAGACUGACUUUUUGAAAAAAAGGACAAAGGCAGUGAGAUGAGAAAAACUAAAUAUUUUAUCCUAAAUUCAUUUGGUGGUAUUAUAACAAUUAUGAGGAUAUAGGUUUUUACAUACUUUUUUUUAAGAAGAAAAGUCCCUCUCUUACCCAGGCUGUAAUGCAGUGGCAUUAUAGCUCACUGCAGCCUUGAACUCCUGGGCUCAAGCCAUCCUCCCGCCUAACCCUCCCUGGAACUAUAGGUGUAUGCUACUAUGACUGUAUUAGUCCAUUUUCACAGUUAUGAAGAAACACCCGAGACUAAGUGAUUUAUAAAGAAAAAGAGGUUUAGUGAACUCACAGUUCCAUAUAGCUGGGGAGGCCUCACAAUCAUGGCAGAAGGUAGACGGAGUAAUAAAGGAAUGUUUUACAUGGUGGCAGGCAAGAAAAAAACCCAUCAGAUAUUCUGAGACUUAUUCACUAUCAUGAGAACAGCGUGGGAAAAACGCAUCCUCAUGAUUCAGUUACCUCCCACCAGGUCCGUCACUCACCAUGUGGAGUUUAUGGGAGCUAGAAUUCAAGAUGAGAUUUGGUUGGUGACACAGGGAAACCAUAUCAAUGACUGACUAAUAUUUUUUAUUUUUUUGCGGAGACGGGGUUCCACUUUAUUGCCCAGGCUUCAAGCAGUCCUCUUGCUUCAACCUCCUGAAGUGUUGGGAUUAUGGGCAUAAGCGACCAUGCCUUGCCUAUGUACUUUUAAAAUGCCUCUUUCGUCAGUUUUUUCAUUGUGGAUAUAGAAUGAAUAGCCUACAAUUUUUAUUUUUAUUGCUGUGUUUAUUAAUAUGUUUAAUACUUAUUUAUUGAAUGGACUUAAAUAAAUUGUGUAUACAACACUUAGUCAUUAUGAAAUGUUAGAAGAUGUUGUUUUUUUAACCCUACUGAAAUUGCCUUGCAAUACAAUUAUAUCUGAAUUUACAGAUCCAUAUGCCAGUGUCCACAUAAAUUAUCUCCACUGGUAGAAGUGAGUAUGGAUUCACUUAGAACUUACUUAUAUUUCAUGUUUAUUAUGUGCUCAGCAUUGAGCUUGGGCAUGGGAUGUAAAAGUACAUUAUGGUCCCUUCCUCAGCAUUACUCAUCUUGAAAACCUUGGAUUCCUAGUCUUUAUUCCCUUCUCGUUAGUGCAACUGAUUAAUACUUAAAUAUGCUGACAAUAGUGUGAUUAUUUGAGACUUACUAUUCUAAUAUAAGGAGCUUUUCUGUUAAGACAGAAUGUAGAUACAUUGUAACAAUUAUUUAUAAAAUACCUUCUUUUAACUUUUUAAUGGGAAUCAUUUGAUACACAAAGCAUUUGGUUUCUCAAAAAGCUUUUAAGGUUGUUAAUUUGGAGUACAAAAAAAUAUUUUGGUAUAUUAAUGGUAAUAAGGUUUCAAAAUUCUCCAGCCCAGAUGAACCAAUGACAAAUUUGGAAUUAAAAAUAUCUGCCUCCCUAAAACAAGCACUUGAUAAACUUAAACUGUCAUCAGGGAAUGAAGAAAAUAAGAAAGGUAAGAUUUUAGUUUGUUUUAUUGUUAAUUAUUUUCUGGUACAGUUAAGCAGUUAUCCAAAAGAGAGAAUAGUAGUUUACUGCAUAUAAAUAGGGAAAAGUUGCACAUUGUAGUUAAGAAAUUUUUUUUCUUCUAAAUGUCAGAUAUGAUAAACUACAAAUACUCCAGAACCUAAUAGGUUAAUUCCAUAUGUCUUUAUUCAAAAUGAGAACCUAUAUUAAAUUUUUUUUCUUUUAUGGGUCAUUAUUUUUUUAAGAAUCAGCUAAAUUUCUUUGAUAUUUUAAAAUGUUUUCUUGUACAUUAUACAAAAUAUAUUCACUAUUCUCUGACUUUUUACCUGGUACCAUGGGAGGAAAACACCCUUUCAUGAUUUAUUUUACAAAGUUAAGAUACUGGAUAUAACAUUUUGUUGUGGAAAAAAUUGUGUCCUGCAUUGUCGAAGACACCAGGUCCUCAAAAGAAGAAGAAGAAAUGUGUCAUAUAUCAAUUUGGGGAUAUAAGCAAAACCUAGUCACAGUCGUUUUUUAAAAAGUAUUGUUUUCUGGAAAAACCUACUUUUUAAGAAUGAUGCCACAGCGAAGUUCUAUUUUAACUUUUUAAUUUGAUUUUUUUUUCUUUGUUACAGAAGAAGACAAUGAUGAAAUUAAGAUUGGGACCUCAUGUAAGAAUGGAGGGUGUUCAAAGACAUACCGGGGUCUAGAGAGUCUAGAAGAAGUCUGUGUAUAUCAUUCUGGAGUACCUAUUUUCCAUGAGGGGAUGAAAUACUGGAGCUGUUGUAGAAGAAAAACUUCUGAUUUUAAUACAUUCUUAGCCCAAGAGGGCUGUACAAAAGGGAAACACAUGUGGACUAAAAAAGAUGCUGGGAAAAAAGUUGUUCCAUGUAGACAUGACUGGCAUCAGACUGGAGGUGAAGUUACCAUUUCAGUAUAUGCUAAAAACUCACUUCCAGAACUUAGCCGAGUAGAAGCAAAUAGCACAUUGUUAAAUGUGCAUAUUGUAUUUGAAGGAGAGAAGGAAUUUGAUCAAAAUGUGAAAUUAUGGGGUGUGAUCGAUGUAAAGCGAAGUUAUGUAACUAUGACUGCAACAAAGAUUGAAAUCACUAUGAGAAAAGCUGAACCGAUGCAGUGGGCAAGCCUUGAACUGCCUGCAGCUAAAAAGCAGGAAAAACAAAAAGAUGACACAACAGAUUGAGUGGGAGAUGGGAGGAAGGCUAUUACAUUAUUUCAGAAUUUUUAAUACUGUGUGAAGUGGUGGCUUGCUGCUGUAAUCUUUUGUUUUGUUGUUGUGUUACUGAAUGUGGCAUUUCAGGGUUAAAAUUAGGUUCUUAAAAGCCAAAGUCAGUUUGUCUUUUUGUGCCUCUCAUCUUUCUUUUGUGUUACGUAAGAUUGAUAUUCAUUUCUCCCUACUGGUAGGAACCAUAGUUGUGUCCUAUACUUGAAGAGGCUAGAAGAUAGUCCAUAACCAUAAUUCCAGUAUUUCUUUGUAUUUAUCUGUUAAGCAAAGAAAUAUUAAGGAACAUGUUUUUUUAUGUCUUUGUAUUAUUCCAUAAUUAGUAAAGCAAGAUGAAAUGUCAAAUUUUAAUCAGUUUUUUCAUGGAUUUGUGUUCUUACAGUACUUGAAAAUAUUUAAGGAAGAGAUGAAGCUCUGCAGUUUUUUCUAUGUGGGAUGAUCACUUUUUUAAGGAGGAUUAAUUCUGAGGUAGUAUAGUAACGAAAGGGGAAUAUAUAAAUUGUUUAACAAAUUAGAAUUUGUUUACAACUACUUGAAUUUUUAAAUUAUGUCAAAACUUACAUUACUUGCCAAGCAGUAUGAUGUAAGAGUAUAGGAAACAUAAAUAAGAUUACAGAGGUAUCAAUUUGGUUAAAAUUCACCAUUUUACAAGACUAAGCAAUAAUCUUAAAAACCUCUUUCCUGAAUAUUUAAAUGUGUUUGUAUGGUGUUAUGACUAAUUGUUACUGAUUUAGAGACUAAGCCCUCUUAAAACCUUUAGUUAAAUAUAAAAAGAAAUUAUAUAUAUCUUGCCUCCCUGAUGGAAAACUAUAAAAUUGUAGACUUAAAAGGUUUGUGGAAAUACAUUAGGAUAUCAGAAAACUAAAUAUAUGGAGUUGCUUUAUGACUAUUAUAUGUUAAAUAAAAUAGCUUAAUUGUU
Molecule: small RNA, 5366 nt
Filed under: Pongo abelii (Sumatran orangutan)
Lineage: Eukaryota; Metazoa; Chordata; Mammalia; Primates; Hominidae
Description: retained intron
Source: RNAcentral